Molecule: long non-coding RNA, 229 nt
Filed under: Elaeis guineensis (African oil palm)
Lineage: Eukaryota; Viridiplantae; Streptophyta; Magnoliopsida; Arecales; Arecaceae
Description: long non-coding RNA (EGUI_LNC081943)
Source: RNAcentral
GCCACCCAACAAGAUCGGAUGAAGGGGAAAGGCCCCUCAGUGGCACCUCCACACUUCUAUGCAACCCCAUGAAAGGCAAGGGGAGGACCCUCACUCCAAAAGGAGGGGAAAAAUUAAAAAGGAAAGCGACAAACUACAUCGAAAACUGAUGAAGGAUAAAUUAUGCCAAAGACGUAAGGAACCUCAUCUUAACAAAGAUGGGAAGUUCCUACCAGGCACCCCCGGCCUC